RNAcentral lists this unclassified non-coding RNA (432 nucleotides) under soil metagenome. RNAcentral describes it as "partial contains 5.8S ribosomal RNA, internal transcribed spacer 2, and large subunit ribosomal RNA". The stretch from base 1 to 120 matches the Rfam family "5.8S ribosomal RNA", at positions 35 to 154 of the family's 154-position model. The record is from RNAcentral.
GAUGAAGAACGCAGCGAAAUGCGAUACGUAAUGUGAAUUGUAGAAUUCAGUGAAUCAUCGAAUCUUUGAACGCAUAUUGCGCUCUCUGGUAUUCCGGAGAGCAUGCUUGUUUGAGUAUCAGUAAACACCUCAACUUCCAUAUCUUUUUUGAAAUGGGAGUUGGACUUGAGUGAUCCCAACGCUUUUCCUCACCGAAAAGUGGCGGGUUACUUGAAAUGCAGGUGCAGCUGGACUUUUCUCUGAGCUAUAAGCAUAUCUAUUUAGUCUGCCUAAAAAACAGAUUAUUACCUUUGCUGCAGCUAACAUAAAGGAGAUUAGUUCUUGUGCUGACUGAUGCAGGAUUCACAAAGACGGCUUCGGCCGACUUUGUAAACUCGAUCUCAAAUCAAGUAAGACUACCCGCUGAACUUAAGCAUAUCAAUAAGCGGAGGA